UGAGGAAUAUUGGUCAAUGGGCGGGAGCCUGAACCAGCCAAGCCGCGUGAGGGAAGAAGGUACAGCGUAUCGUAAACCUCUUUUGUCGGGGAACAAAGGCGGGGACUAGUCCCCGGAUGAGGGUACCUGAAGAAAAAGCAUCGGCUAACUCCGUGCC
This 157-nucleotide ribosomal RNA is filed under the name uncultured bacterium. RNAcentral's name for it is "partial 16S ribosomal RNA". It matches the Rfam family "Bacterial small subunit ribosomal RNA", at positions 355 to 509 of the family's 1533-position model. The record is from RNAcentral.